GAUGAACGCUGGCGGCGUGCCUAAUACAUGCAAGUCGAGCGAACAGAUGAGGAGCUUGCUCCUCUGACGUUAGCGGCGGACGGGUGAGUAACACGUGGAUAACCUACCUAUAAGACUGGGAUAACUUCGGGAAACCGGAGCUAAUACCGGAUAAUAUAUUGAACCGCAUGGUUCAAUAGUGAAAGACGGUUUUGCUGUCACUUAUAGAUGGAUCCGCGCCGCAUUAGCUAGUUGGUAAGGUAACGGCUUACCAAGGCAACGAUGCGUAGCCGACCUGAGAGGGUGAUCGGACACGCUGGAACUGAGACACGGUCCAGACUCCUACGGGAGGCAGGAGUAGGGAAUCUUCCGCAAUGGGCGAAGGGCUGACGGAGCAACGCCGCGUGAGUGAUGAAGGUCUUCGGAUCGUAAUACUCAGUUAUUAGGGAAGAAAAAAUGUGUAAGUAACUAUGCACGUCUUGACGGUACCUAAUCAGAAAGCCACGGCGAACUACG
This 495-nucleotide ribosomal RNA is filed under the name uncultured bacterium. Its description in RNAcentral is "partial 16S ribosomal RNA". It matches the Rfam family "Bacterial small subunit ribosomal RNA", at positions 28 to 505 of the family's 1533-position model. The record is from RNAcentral.